Molecule: long non-coding RNA, 12499 nt
Filed under: Heterocephalus glaber (naked mole-rat)
Lineage: Eukaryota; Metazoa; Chordata; Mammalia; Rodentia; Bathyergidae
Description: lncRNA (ENSHGLG00100039820.1)
Source: RNAcentral
GUAAGUGUUCUUAGGGUAUUUGCAAUGUGGAGCAACCAUCACCACUGUCUGUCCCCCGCACUUCCGUGGCCCCACAAGGAAGCCGCAUCCGGCUCCCAGAAGGCACCACCCUCUGUCUUUGUGACCUGCGCUGUGGACCCCAUGCGGUGUUCGCCCUCGGCAGCAGCACCCCUGGGCCGCAGUGGCUGUAUGGACUCGGAGUGUGUGGUCCUGUCUUGCUGACCUUCCCCCUGUUCGGGGGAGCGGGUCGGGCUGUGUGUGGGGUGAUGCGGUGGCCGUGGCCCCCUAGUCCAGGUUGGGUCUCAGACCGCUGGCCCUGGGCGUGCAGGCAUCCUCUGGAAGCUUGGCGCUGGGCUCCACAAGAGGGCGCUGUCUGAAAGUCUUCCGUGCGCUGGGAGUGACGCAGCCGUUCAGGAGGGUUUGGGGCGCGUGCUCCUGUCUUCCCAAACAUCUAGAGCUCAAGGAGUGCAGAAAAUUCUGACCUCCCUACCCACCCGACCACCCAACCACCCAGCCACCCAGCACCCACCCACCUCCUCCCACUGUCCUCACCAUUUAGCGGGCAGGGACCAAGUAGCCCAGCCCUGUCCACGAUUCCUCUGUGAUCAUGGAAAGCCACAUGUGGUCACUGAGGGAAACUGAGGCUCAGGGAGGUUAAGGAACUUGCCCAGGGUCAUGGGGCUCACAUACAGCUGAGGCAGCAUUCGAACCCAGGCCUUGUGGUGCAGGGCCCAGGCUUUACAUGCGCCACGGUCUCAGGUCAGGUCCGGGUGGGUGAGGGACAUUCAGCGGCCAGCAGGGAAGGAGAAGGCUCCUUGUCCCCCUGGACUGGCCCCUGUGGUGUCCGAGCUCCUCAGCGCUUCCAGGCUGGGGCUGAGAGCCUGUUAUUGUGCUUUUGGCAUGGUGGGCACCAGCCUGGCCAUUGCAUAGGCAGCACACAGGGCACCAGGUCACCGGCCCGUGCCCCUCCUCAGGCUGAGAGGGACAGAAGGGCACAUCCGGGUGGGGAUCACCUGGCCGCAUUCUUCGUGCUUCCCCAGUCUCUGCUUCUAUAGGCUGAUCUGAUGGAGGAGGCCUUGACCCAGCCUCUGAGCCACACCCCAGGAGACUGGCUUCUCCUGGCCCCACCCAGCUGCCACCCAGCUGCUUCCUUGGGCAGCGAAGGGCCACUCCACCUUCUCUCUCCAUCCCAGGGGCGGAGGAUGUCAUCUGCAGUCUCGGCCCUCUGGAUCAAAACACGAUGCUUGCCCUUCCCAGGAUGGGGAACAGCGCCUGCACUGCUGCGGUGCUGUGUCCCCACCACACCUGUGGUGUCGCAUUUAUGACACAAGUGUUUCCCUCUCGCACCCCUGAGAAAGGUCACUGGCUUUUAGCCCCCAGUGAGUGUCUUUCCAUGUCAGAAGCAGACACUCAGCAGCCCCAGUGCAACCCAGAGCAGAGAGCCCUUCCUGCUCGGGUUCCCUGGGCCUCCUGAGCCGAGGGCCUGGCCCAGAGAUGCCUGGGCCCUGCCGGGCUGUCCUGGCACCAGUGCAAUUGUAGGAGCAGGUUUAUGUGUCGCUUGCGUCAAGGGCUCCUUCCUUGCAGGGAGGCCCAGCCCUAACUGGAGAGUGGAAGUUGGGGUCCUGCUCUCUUCCUGGGAGGUGAUCUCUGGCCUGGCUCUUGGGCGCAGCAGCUCCCUAGGGGCCCACCCGCCCGUGUCACUCACCAAGGUCCAGCGCUGUGGCAGUGGGGAGCUGCACCGUGAAUGGCCAUGAUGUCACUUGGGACCUGCCCAGUUGGCCAAAUCCCACCUGGUUGUGCUGCCCUCCACUGCCCUUGGCCUCUGUUUGCUGAACCCCUCUCAGCACCCGCUUUGGAGAGGAGGUGCUUGUUCCUCAGCUGCAAUUGCUGCCGAGUGGAGUGGGGUGCUGUCUCUUCUCAGUGUCCACAGGAGGAAGAGACGGCAGGGGGAGCUUGAUGGCCAUGUGCAUUGUCAGUGUGGCUGGAGCAGGCAGGAAAGUCUGGAGGGGUCCUGGAAGGGAUGAGGGGACCCCUUAGGGCACCCUGCCUCUGCUCUGCCCAGCUGGGCUGGCAGCUCCGGGCCAGUGGGGUGGGGAGGCUUCUGCUGGUUGCAUUGUGGCUAUCCUAGCCUGGUCCUGCCAGCCUGGGAGCCCUUGUGCAUGAGUGAUGGGAGCGGGCGUGUCCAUGCUGUGCUCCAUAGGGGUAUCGGACGCUGUGGCUGUCUGGGAAGUGGGCUGUUUGAGGCUACUUAUCCAUAAAUUGCCACUGGGUCAGGACUCUUGGUCGUAAAGAACAGGAAAGCUAAUUCAUGUUGACUUAAGCUAGGAGGGAAUUUGUUAAUUUACAUAAUGGAAAAGUCUAGGGCCCUGAUGGCUUCAGGGGCAGCUUGAGCCAGGGAUGCAGACAGUGUUGGCAGGACCCAGCUUCUCCUCACAUCAUGCCUCUGCGGCCCUCUAUACCACUGGCAGGCAGGUAGUUUUGAAAAAUAGCUGUGAGGAUCUCUGGGUUUGCACCAAAGUAGUGCCAAUUCAGUAGAAAAAAGAGACACUCUUUCCCAUUGUUUCCCACCACUAAGAAGGGAUCUGGAGUUGGCUGAUUGGCCUUGUUGGGGCCACCAGCACUGUGGCUGAGGGGAGGUGCUGCUCUCAGGCACCUUGCAGCCCUGCUGCUGUGGGACAGUCGUCCCGAGCUUAGUGACUUAGAGGGUCCUCUGGUUUCUUUAGCUGGGGAGUCUGCAGUGUGGGCGGUGCCCAGCUGAGAAGUCCCCUCUGCCCCAUGUGGCAUCAGCUGAGCCAGCCCAGGCUGGGGCUGAUGAUUCCGUCAAGAUGGUGAAGUGGGAUAGCUGUCAGGCCAGGCCUGGCGCUGUGUCUGUGGCCUUCCCUGCAGGCUGGGUGUCCCUGGGCACGGCCGUGAGUGUCCCAGGAGACCGGCAGUGGCAGGCUGACCUGCAUCUCUUCUGCUGUGGUCUACGGGCCAAGCCACUCCAGAACCCAGGCACCAGGGAAGGGGAUGCAGGCCCUCUCUAGAUAGCGGACCAGAUUGGGCUCUCCGUGAGGCAGAGGUGGCCCUCCGUCCUCAGGGUGAGGCCCGAGAAUGGCGGUGGGGUCUCCUCUUGGCAGAGGCCAAUUUCAGACUCAGGAGAAAAAGCCUCGGGAGGCAGAGGUGCUGCACAGUCUCCAGCUCCACUCUUACGGCCUCGUGAGCGUCCUGGUGCCCAGCACCUGGGGUUGACUCUGAGAGGUGAGGACACUGCAGGACCUCACAGAGAAGCCCAGGGGCUCCCCCCUGGGCAGCACCCUGUUCUGGGGACUUGGAUGUCCAGGCUUCACGCACCUUGACCCGCCCGGCCUGGACCUGCCACAGGAGGAGCCGUGGACGUGGCCCUGCGUGGAUGUGGCUCAGACUCCUCCAGCAUGGUCUCCACGCGCCUGUGUGUGCAGCCCCGCACCCCUGAAGGGACAGAUGGGGCACAGGACUGCAGCCUCUCAGAAGUGUGGGGAGUGCAUUGGUCAGGGCAUGGGGGAGGUUGUGGGCAGGCCUCCUGGUGGCCGGGAUGAGCAAAGAGCGGGGAGCAGCACCUGAGGGGUGGGGUGUGGGGCUACAGGAUCUUUUUGGGGCUAACAGUGGUUUGUUUGCUUAUUUAUUGAUUUGUUUCUGCAGUGCUGGGGAUGAGCCCAGAGCCUUACACUGAGCUACAUCACCAGCCCUUUCAUUUUUUUUUCUGAGACAGAGUCUUGCUGACUUGCCCAGGUGGGAUUCGAACUUGUGAUCCUCCUACCUUAGCCUCCCAGAGUGCUGGGAUCACAGCUGUGCUCCACAAGCCCAUCUGACUGUGUUUAAAAUGCCUGGCGAUUUGGAGCAGGAGGAGGUCCUGAGCUUUCCUCUGAAUUGAUUCUCAGGACUACCGAGCACCUCACAAGAGGACCCCCUCUCUCCGGGGAGAGCCCCGCCCCUGUGCUUUGCUUGGGGACCCUCAGGUCCCUUCCUGUUGGAAGUGGUUCCCAUAUUUGACAGGCUUCUGGACAGAGGCAUGGCUGGAGCUCUUGGGUGUGGGGUGACCUGCUUUCCUUCUGGGGAUUGGCUGGCUCAUUUGUCCUGGGAACAGCAGGGCCACCCGCCCCAGGCCCGCCUGUGGUGCUGGCCGAGCAGCUGUGUGCUCUCACCAGUGCCAGACAUGGGAUCAGAGAGGUCACUGGUAGCUGCACAGUGGAAGGCAGCAAAACGCUUCCCAGCCAAGGGACAGAGCAGUCUGCAUGUGGAGCCAGCAGGCGAGUGGAGGGUCACUCAGCAGCUCUGGGCCUGCUGGGCCCUUGGGGUCACCCACACAGUUCCAGAUGUGCUGCUGACUUCUGGCUGCAGCAGGUGGACAGUGUCCAGGGUCUGAGAAACACAUGCUAGAGGACUCCAUUGCACCAGCAGCUUCCUGUAAGCGACAGGUGUUUCCUUCCCCGCAGAACUCAGCCACUGUCCCUUCCCUCAGAGGCCCUUCCUUCAGCCUUCAGAGGUUAGGACUGGAUGUCUUCCGGAGGUUGUUACCCUGCAGCCCACACUCCCUGAGGAGCCUGCCAAAGAGCCUGAUGGCACAGUCACCUACGUGACCCUUCUGGAAGGUCCUGAAGCUGUGAGGCAGUGCCGAGCCCGGGGCUGCCCCUUGUCAGGAGGCCAGGACAGUCAGACACUGGGCCUCUGUUACCGCAGAGGACAGGCCAUGAAGGCCAGACCUCGGAGGACCCGGCUGCUGACGCUUGGUGACCACAGCUGUCUCUGCCACAUGCACCUUGCCGCCUGAACUCGAUGCAGUCCAGACGGGAGCUGUUUCCCUGUGCCUGCUUUCAAGUCAGGAGAGUGAGCGGGGUGUGGGGGUGCACCCCUGUGGUGCCAGCACCCUGGGGGGCUGAGGCAGGAAGGAUCACAAGUUCUAGCCUGGCCUGACCAGUUUAGAGACUUAGUGAGACCCUGUCUCAGAAAAUAAAAAUGGAGCUCAUUGUGAAGGCCCUGGGUUCAAUGUCCAGGACCACAGGGAAAAAAGAGGGGGAGAGGGGAGGGAGGAGGAGAGAAAAGCUCCCCGAGAGCUCCAGCGCUUGUUUCCUGCCACGUAGCUCCUCAGAACCAGAGCUGGGGGCCCAGCCCACGUCUGAAUGGGAGGCUGGCUGUACCCGCAGGCAGCACUACCUCACACCUGUCGUACCUGGGCAGCCCUGGAGGGAGGCUUUGCCCAGAGAGGUUUAGCCACUUCUCUGGUCCCAGAUGCCUCAUGUGGCCUCCGAGGCCCCAAUCCCAAGAAGUCCUGUCAGGAGCUUUGCUGCCCGUGAUGGCUCAGGUCCCACACUGCAUCUGGUAGCUCCAUCCUGAUGGUGGUUCAUGGGCUCCCAGGCCCUCCCCUCUGGGUCUGCCAGACUCGGCUGUGCUCGGUGGGCUCUGUCUGCUGAGACCCCGUCUCCACCCCUGGACAAACUCACCCAGUGGGCCUUGUGUGCCCCUGCUUGGCAUGGUGAGGGAGGGAGUGACUUCCGGAGCCCGGCUCUCCCCAUGCGCGGCUGGGGUCCCAGCGGCUCCUGUGCCCUCGGGGCUCAGUCUGUGUCCUGAGGGACAGGGGUGUGUGUGGGGGCCUGUGUGGCCUGCACCUGACCCGCCUGCUGCCCCAGCCCUGCCCUGUGCCCACUGCAGGCCCUGUCUGCUUCCCAGGACUCUUGGCUGACCCGCAUUGCCCCAAGGUGGCCUCAGUGCCAGGGCUGGGGCAGGGAGUGCCCAGGAUGGCUCUGUGAUCAGCUGGUGAUGUCUGCCGCAGGCCCGGGCUGGGCUUGUGUGCGAGCCUUGUGGGUCUUCAUCGCUCCCCAGUGACUCCCCGGUGUUUGGCACAGGGUGGCGUGGGUAUCCACUGUUUCCUCUGAGGGGUGUCACGCUGGGGGGUUGGAGAGCCCACCAGAGGGACGGGAAACUUCCUGUCCUCUCUCUUGCUGUUUCCAAGGGAGACCGCCCACUGAGGGCACCGUUUUCAUGUUAACACAACAGACCAGGCCGAACCGGAGCAGGGAAGGUGCUGGCACCCGGAGGAGGCCAAGCCUGGCAUUCCACCUCGGGGAGCAUUCUGUUGCCUCAGCACCUGCCAAGCAAGUGUGUCCUUUCCAGACAUCCCACACUCGGGGAGAUCCCAGCAUGCCAGCCCCACCAACCCUGCCCACUGCUCCCCCAGGUUCCACUUUACUCAUCCAACAGAUUUGUGAAUCCGACCUUUUUAAAAAGGGAAAGAUUUAAAAACUGUGUGCACAGCGCGUCCGCUCUCUUCUGUGUGCCCUGCUCCUGUACGUGCAUAGUUGCCUGGGGGCUUGGGCCACAGCCUGGGGCACAGUGUCCUUCGGAGCUGCUUUCUGGGCAGGGCGCUGUGCCUGGGUAUCAGGCCAGGGCUCCUGGUGCUGCCACAUCGGCAUUUCAAAUGCUGAGACUGGCUGGUGGCCCUGGAGGGUCAGCCCCACCCAAAGGCUCAAAGCGUCCACUGUGCCUUGGUCCAUUAUCUCACAGGCUGUGAAAUAGGCUGACAGAGAUUUUGAAUUAUGAACGUCCAUACAGGGACUUCAUUUACUUCUUUUUUCUUUUGGUACUGGGGACCGAACUCGGGACCUUGCACUUACAAGGGAGGCAGCGGAACCACUGAGCUAAAUCCCUGGUCCGUUUUUUUUUUUUUUUUUUUUGGUACCUCGUUUACUUCUCAUAGCAACCCUGAGGUUAUUGUCUUGCAGCUUUUCAGAGUAGGUCUGCCAUGGCUUCGCAGCACCACAUGGUCCUGCAUGGGGUUCCAAGGCCACAGGGGCCAAUGGGGCUGCGGUAGCAGGGAUCUGUUCUGAGACCCUGAUUCUCUGUGAACAGUUUUUUUUUUUUGGUACUGGGGAUCGAACUCGGGACCUUGCACUUUUGAGGCAGGGGCCAAAACCACUGAGCUAAAUCCCCGGCACCGUGAACAGUUUUUUUUUAAUGUCAAUUGUAUUUUCUCCUGUAUUUUUGUGGACUCCUAUCAGUCUUAGGUUAUUCUUCUUUGCAUCACCUAGCAGCUGCUGGACUGAUUUCUCAUGGUCCCUUACUAUCUUUAAGAAAUCUCUGUUUUCAUGGUCCUUAACCGCAAUCCUGUCUUCUAUAUCUGAUAUUCUAUCUUCAGAUUCCCUUAAUCUGCUAUGCAUGCUUUCAAUGGAGUUUUUAAUCUCCUGAAUAUCUGUUUGAAUCUAUUUCAUGGAUUCCAUUUCUUUCUUAUGUUGGGCGAUCAUGGUUUAUAUUUCUUUCUUAUGCUGGGCAUUCAUGGCUUUCAGCAUAUUUUUGAGCUCAUCUAUUUUUUUAUCUGUUUCUGUUUUAGAGCCUCUAAUUAUGUCUUUCACUCUGCUCACCAUGUCUGUAGUUAUCUGGGAGAUUAUGUCUGCUUUGAAUUUUUCUAGAGUCUCAUUCAUCUGUUUUGUUACUUCCUGUGCUAUCAGUUCAGCCUGUCCAGGUGGUUGAUUAUCGGACUUUUCCACCCCAUUUCCCCAAAAAUUGCCUUUUGUAGGGUGGAAGCCUGGGUUUGUGACUUGCUUAAAUGUCUUUUUCAUUUUUGUUUCUGGUACUGUCACUUAUAAGCCAAUGAGUCCCAGUAAGCCAGUCACAGACCCCUGAGAUUCAGACAGACUUCUGGCUGCAAGUCCCAAAUUGAGCUCCCCGCCCUCCCACAGGGCUGAACUCUGCAAGGCUCUACUACAGGUUCCAGCUGCCCUUCCCCUGAAGAUAGUCCAGGAUCAAGUGGGAGGUGAUGAUCCCUCCAACUUACCAAGCACGGUGGUCUGGUGUGCCUUUAUUGCAGAGAUUCUUUUCACUUUUCCAGUGGGAUUCAGUUUUCAUCAGGGAGCCUGAGAGAGGCCUCUCUCUGCUGUUCACCUCUGCAACUCAGGACAAUGGCCUUUAUGUCCCCCUGUGCCUCUGUAAUGUGGAACUGGGUAGCUGCACAGCCAAGAGGCCAGAGGCAGCGGUGGUGGUGGGGCUGGCUGUUGUUACAGGUGCCUGUGGGGCCAAGCCAGUGGCCGGUGGGCCUGCGGGGUGGGGUGGGGGUGUCCUCACCGUUUCCUGGAUGCAAGUGGGCUGACGCUGAUUCUCUUUAAUGCUGCACCGGCAUCUCUCCUGCUGGAAGUUUUUGGGAACAAGUCUUUACCUACCUGUUCUUGUUGGAUCACGGGUCAUGGCAGCCUCUGGAUGUGUGUCUCCUACUGGGGCAGUCCCCACUGUCUGCAUGUGUAAAGGAAGGUGCACACAUGCAGGGUGCCAGGUGUGGGAGUGAGUCAGCCACCCAAGCGCUGGCUCAUCUGCCUCCCGGCCCUGGUGCAGGGCUCUGCCCCUCUCUGGCUUUGUCAGCCUGAGGUACAGAGGCUGGUGUCAUCUGAGCCUGCACUGACUGGGGUGUGAGCAGCUCUCCACUCACUCCUGCUGUGAUGUCCCCGGCCCCAGACUCUGCUCCUUCCUCCCCUGUCCCCUGCCUGGAGUAGGAGGAGGCCCUGGGAGUCCAGCGUGCUCUGAGGGCCUUUCUGUCCUGGGCCGGGAGGUGGCACUGAGGUCCUCACCGUGGCACGGGUGAAGUGUGGGAAGCCAACAAGUGUGAAGCACAUCACACUUGAACAGUGGUCCUGCAAAUCAUUGGCUUCUGUGAGCUGGGAGGGCCAUGGCCAACCCUCCUGGGCCCCCGAUUUUAUCAGUCAACAGAACUGGGGCUUGAGAGAUGCAGAUGCACAUCUGUGGGCACUGCUGUCCUCCCCAGAGGGCCUGGCUCUGCAGACCCCUGAGAGAUGGUGUGUGGGGUUAUGGUUUAUAUCUGUGGAAGGCCAUUGGAUUAGGGGCUUAUAGCAGAUUGCUCUUAGGAGGCGGCUCCUGAUGGGAAGGGGCGGGUCACUGUGGGUGUGACCGGAAGUUCACAUCUCCCUUCCCGUUUCUUCCCUGACGCGCUACUUCCUGUUCACCAUGCCUCGAGCCGCUCUCCUCCCCGAGGCUCCUCUGCCCUGCCGUUCUGCCUCAGAGCCUGCCGACCACCAACCGACAGACGAGCAGUAUAAACCUCUCCUCCGGUUGAGUCGGUGUCGAGCACGGUGUCCCAGCGAGGAGAAGGUGAUCUGCUCCACGUUCACGGAGGGCCCUCGAUUCUGAGUGUUGGGAUCACAUCACAUGUGGCCUAGGGACACAGGGCCAGGACCCUCGCAGGACCUGCUAACCUGACCUCACUGAUGUGUUUUAUGGGGUGCCUACUCUGAGCCCAUGCACGCGCCAGUCCCCCGUGGGCUGCUGACAGCCAGUGUGAGACCUCUUAAUUGGCUUCAAGGGUAGUUGCAGUCUUCCUGAGCCAGUUAACGAUCUCGGGUAAUGAGCUCUCUCCUCUCAGUAUUUGUUUAGUGCUUUAUUCAUGGGCAUGAAAUGGUGGUGGCGUUAAUUUCAGGGGAACUUUAAUGAUUUUAUGUGUUUGGAGAAGUUCCCAGCUCCUGACCUUUAGGUGCUAGGUCUGUUUGGGGCCAUGUGAAAUGUUUGGCGUCACUUGCAAGAAAGAAAAAAGAAGUGCUGUUUUCCUUAGAAAUAGAAUAGGCAUUUCACAGCCCAACAUUGUUCUGCCAGGAAAUGUUCACCAAAGUCCUGAAGGCAGACCUGUGGAAAUUUCCAGUACUUCUCCUAGAGGAAGGAUUUGGGUUGUCACAACCAGAACAAUCAUCUUACCCCUCCAUUUCCUGAUCUCUUCACCAGUCUACCAACCAACCAUCAUCCAGUCAUCCACCCACCUGUCCAUCCAUUUACCCACCCAUCCACCCACCUAUCCAUCCAUCCCUCCACCUACCCAUGUAUCCAUCCACCCAUCCAUUUAUCCACCCAUGCACACAUCCAUGCACUUAUCCAUCUGCCCCCUACAGUGUACCCAUCACCCAUCGGUUCAUCCACCCACCCAUGGCACUCACAUCCACUCACCGCUCCUCUGUCCACCACCUUGGUUGCCUGCAGCACUGAGGCAAACCUCACUCCACGCCCAGCUUCUUCUCUUACGUGUUGUACACCUGUCUGGUUUCUGCCUGGCCGUGUCAGCAGAGGGGCUCUGAGGCACACUGUGGGUGUGAAGGGUGCAGGAGCCCGGAGAGCCCAGAACCCUGGACCUUCCCUUUGCCACUUGAGUCCCUGUGACUUCUUUUCAGAUCCUUGGGGUCGCGAAGGCCCCGGGUCCCAAGGCUUGCUUGGGAGGAAGCCAGAGACUGUAACUCUCUACCUUGGAAACAGUGGAAAGAUCGAAAGUGAAAAGAUUAUCACUUCAUCUUUUGUUUCCCUAUUAAAACAGUUACAUUUCCUGUCACUCUUCUCAAACCCUCCAGAUACACUGCACAGGGACUUUCCAAGCUUUCCUCCUGUUUCUGUCCUCCCAGUGGGAGAGAAGCUGAUUAUGACCAUGUCAGGUACACAGAGCCCCUGACUGGGCGACCCCACAUUCUUCCUUUUCAAAUAAAGUUUAAGACUAUCCAGAACGACUUGCCAGGCUGACCUCUGGCUUUUGAUCCUCUGCUGAGUUUUGUGCAGCCUGUUGGCGCAGCCUGCUGAUGUGCUGGGAUGAAUGCCCUCGCUGGGGGAGGUGUUAACACCCUAGGUGUGUGUUGGCUCCUUGUCCUGCAGCCAGUGAGAAACCUCACGGCCUGUUGCCUGUCCUGGGUCCUAAGUGAUGGUGGCCACGUGAAGAUGCACCUGAGGGACACAGAGUUUCCUGUCUGUGCUUCACCCUGGGGUGCUGUCCUUAGGAGCUGAUCUCAGAAACUCACGGCAGCCAGCCCCCAAGAUGGUGUGGGGGCACCCUGAAUUCAGGCCCUUGUGCAGCCCUUCCUCUUCAUUCCAGGUUGGUCAGUGCAACCAGAGAGGGUCUGCAGAAGUGAUGCAGUCAUCAGAGGCACUGUGGCUUUCAUCUUGUUCUCUCUCUCUCUCUCUUCUCUCCCUUUACUUUUGCGUCCAAUCCUUUGUACGAGGAAGCCAGGUGCUCUGAGAGCAGCAGCUAUGGAGAGGCCCAGGGUAAGGAACUGCAGCCCCUACAGCCUUCUGGGGAGCCCUCAGGGGACCAAGUCACAGCCAUCAGAUGUCCACUCGCCUGACCUUCAUCCGUCCUUACGUGUGGCAGCUGAGAGUCGUGCAGUGACCACCCUAAGGUCACUCAGCCAGGCUGAGUUAGUGUAGGGUUGGUCCUGCGAGCCUGUCUCACAGGGUCCGCCUCGCAAGGGCUCACUAGGGAUGGAGCAGACCUGAGAGCUCGAGGACCUGCACCCCUGCACACCGGUGCUCACAUCUCAGAGAAGGAGAAGCAGAUGGAUUUUUCCAGAUAAUGUGCUCAUGGUGAAAAAAAUCUCUGAGCACUGGAGGUGAGGCUCUACCACUGUGCAGCACUUGCCUAGCAUGCACAGAGCCCUAGGUUCGAUCCCCAGCACUGGAAAAGGCAUUCAAAUGAAAUUAUGUUGAGUCCUGCAUUGAAGAGAUGCUUGGGGCAACCCACUGGGCCCCCGCCCCGUCUUUCAGGAACUAUCCCUAUUCCCCAUUCUUUUUCCCCAUUCCUAUUUCCCAAUAAAAUUUCCUAUUCUUUAAAAAAAAAAAAAGAGAUGCCUGGUUUGGGAAGAAGAGAAUUCCAUGAAGGGAAGCCUUUCCCCCAUUCCUGGGGAGAGCCGUUUAGUUACCUACAGGGGUAUGGGAUGUGUCUAGGUGUCCCCCAAAGCCUCAUGGGCUCGUAGGUGGGCUUUUUUGGAGCAGGCUGGAUUAGGGUGUGUGAUACUGGGAUUAAGAGUGUGUGAAGCUAAAUUAGUCAGCGGAUUGGUUUAGCAUAGUUCUGGGUGUGAAUAAUGGGAAGGCCCACCCUGGGUGUGGGUGGCACCACCCAAAAAGCUUAUAGCCUGAAUGGGAUAAAAGGAAAAGGGAGGCUUGCUGUUCUGCUAUUGCCGCUGCCGCCUUCUGCCUGCACUGCUGCAGACUGUUUCUCCUCUGCCACGCCACCCUGCCUUGGAGCCAGCCAACUAUGGACUGGAACCUCUCUAAACCAUGAGCUGAAAUACACCUUUCCUCCUUGAAUUUCGGGUGUUGGGUAUUUUGUCUCAGCAAUGAGAAAAGUAACUAAGACAUAAAGCUUGGCAGAAGUUGACAAAAUCCAUUAAAAUUAUCUCAUGUAAGUUGCUAUACAUAUGUCACAGAGCUAAAAUAAACGCAUCUCUGGUGAGUUGUUUAAGUUUUGGUCAAUUCUGCAAGUUUGUCACCCAACAAAAGGAGCCUUUGGGAGACCUGACUUGACUCAGUCAGGGCUGCGGCUGGUCCCCGCUGCGGGUGCCUAGGGCCCAGUGCUGUUGGGAACUUCAGAGGAUGAGUUCAGGUGCACCUAGGAAGUUGUCCUCUGGGGACAGAAGUGGCAAUGCUCGCUGCCUGCGUCCACAGGCCUCCCAUGAGGCCACUGCACAGAAGCUGGCAGAAAGCAGGACACUCAGUGCAGCCUGGUGCAGAAGUUGUG